AGAUACAAUCACAUCGAAUGUGACCAUGUGCCAAGCACUCUGCUAUCAAGAGUAGCUCAUGAACGGUAUGGGUAUAAGUAUCCCUCCAUCUUGAAACCACCACAGUGACUUAUAAGCAACUCACUGUACUUUAGUAUCAGGCCAUCUAAGUUUCUAACUUAGUGAUGGAAGGAUAUUGGGUGUAGUCAAGUACUUAUCAAGUCGAUGUGUGAGUUAAGAUGGAAUUGACCCCUC
This 234-nucleotide long non-coding RNA is filed under the name Elaeis guineensis (African oil palm). Its description in RNAcentral is "long non-coding RNA (EGUI_LNC049977)". The record is from RNAcentral. Lineage: Eukaryota; Viridiplantae; Streptophyta; Magnoliopsida; Arecales; Arecaceae.